Non-coding RNA from Steinernema glaseri, 47 nucleotides. The record is from Rfam. NCBI's taxonomy places the organism in Eukaryota, Metazoa, Nematoda, Chromadorea, Rhabditida, Steinernematidae.
CCAACGGCCCUCUUUAGGGCCACAAAUGUGAAUGAAACAGAUUCUGU